UUAUAAUACAACUAAAAUAAUUGUAUAAAUAAUGUCUAAAAUUAUUUGAAUCCUUAUGAGACAAGCAAACACAUUAACAACCUGAGAUGUCUUUCUUUGCUCUUUCUGUUUUCAAAAUUGCACUAAACAGGAAGACAGACAGGAAGUGGUAGCCUAAAGCAUUUUAUCUAUGUGAUCAAGACUUAGCCGUGUUAGUCAUGAAGGAGAAACGCUAAAGAAAAUUCUGUAUGUUACAUACGUAGGAUUAUUUUAAACUAAAAGUGGAAUUGGAAAAGUGAGAUUGUGACAGAUUUCCAAUGUGGGGUCAGCAAGUUCAGAGGUUAAGUGACUUUACAGAGGAGCUUCUGUCACACCGUCUUUUACCAUGACAAGAUCAGGUGCCUUAAAACUUUGCAUCCUCUUCUUUCUCACCUUCAUCCUGUGUCUACCAGAGUUUUUUCCAAAAAUAUCACAAAUUGAGUUUCUCUGUGAGCCCUUUGACCCUUGCACACCUGAGAAUGAUACACAGGUGUGUGCUCCAUAUGACCCUCCCUGUGUGAUAGAAAUGAUAAAUGCCAGCAGCCAACACACACGUUCUGAAGGCUGGUAUCUGUGUAAAACUGAAAUGGAUCUGCAGCUUCUCCAGAACAAUACCUCACCGUCAGAAGAGCAUGUGAUGGUGCUACUGACAAUGAAGGCAGGCAAUCACUCUGGAUGGAACAUUAGUGAAUUUAUGUUUCUCAACAACACUGAUCUAUACACUGCUGGACCCCAAAAUGACCAGAGACUGUUUUAUUGCAACCUCCCACCAGACAACAGCAAAUGUCCAGAUCUGAACAUAUCCAUGCAAGAAAAAAACACCAGCCCUCCAAUACAAGACCCCUCCAUUUUAAAAACCAAUACUUCUGUGAACCCAACUGCCUUUUCACUCAAAACAACUACACUGUCUUUCCAAGAAACACCUUCUACAGAUGAGCUGAAGUGUCAACCAACCAGCAGCAGUUUCCUCUUUUACUACCAGAUGAACAAUGAAACAGCAAGAUCUGCCGCAUUACCAGUAACCCAAACAAGAAAAGAUGGCUGGUGGUGUGUGAUUACUUCGGUGUGGUUGGCUCUGGUACUGACUGUGAUUGUGGUAACCCUAUUGAGUGUGGGAAACAUGAUCUUUAAGAGCAGAAAACGAAAGUCCGGUUUGGUUGCAUCUGUGCCGGUUUCAGCCCGUGGACGUCAGCUCAAAGAGCUCAGUAAACAAAAAGAAAAUUUAAUGAGUGCUGUCCCUACUGUGUCCAUAGCAAUGUGCUGCUUAAGUGAUGGGGAUGUAUUCUAUGAGAAACCGUCAAUGGGGAACAGAACAGAAGGUUUGUCACCAGUCUAUGAGAUCAUAGAACCUCACUAGAUGAAGAAGAGCAACAUGAAGAUGAAGAAGAGUUUUAAAAAAUCACAAAAAGCACAGGGCCACUGCGAACCACCAA
This is a long non-coding RNA of Cyprinus carpio (common carp), 1451 nucleotides long. The record is from Ensembl. Lineage: Eukaryota; Metazoa; Chordata; Actinopteri; Cypriniformes; Cyprinidae.